CUUUGAUUCUGGCUCAGGACGAACGCUGGCGGCGUGCUUAACACAUGCAAGUCGAACGAGAAUCUGCGGAACGAGGAUUCGUCCAAGUGAAGCAGAGGACAGUGGCGGACGGGUGAGUAACGCGUGAGGAACCUGCCUUUCAGAGGGGGACAACAGUUGGAAACGACUGCUAAUACCGCAUGACACAUAGAUGUCGCAUGGCAUUUAUGUCAAAGAUUUAUCGCUGAAAGAUGGCCUCGCGUCUGAUUAGCUAGUUGGUGAGGUAACGGCCCACCAAGGCGACGAUCAGUAGCCGGACUGAGAGGUUGAACGGCCACAUUGGGACUGAGAUACGGCCCAGACUCCUACGGGAGGCAGCAGUGGGGAAUAUUGGGCAAUGGGCGCAAGCCUGACCCAGCAACGCCGCGUGAAGGAAGAAGGCUUUCGGGUUGUAAACUUCUUUUGUC
Molecule: ribosomal RNA, 446 nt
Filed under: uncultured Bacillota bacterium
Lineage: Bacteria; Bacillati; Bacillota
Description: bacterial SSU rRNA
Rfam family: Bacterial small subunit ribosomal RNA
Source: RNAcentral